Cydia splendana is the source of this 323-nucleotide long non-coding RNA. RefSeq lists it as uncharacterized. The transcript is spliced from 4 exons. The record is from RefSeq and is a predicted model, not a curated record. NCBI's taxonomy places the organism in Eukaryota, Metazoa, Arthropoda, Insecta, Lepidoptera, Tortricidae.
GAUGAGGCGCUCCUGAGCAGCUUCAAGAAUAAGAUGACACCGCACAGCCUGAACCUGUCACCCAAGUCCCCGACGCCGCCCAAACGGAGGUUGGGAUCCAAGGAGAACUGCUCGCCUAAUGUUGGACUCUCAUACGAGAACAGGAUAGAAUCAAGAGACUUCUCACUCACCCCGAAACCUUUCAAAAGCCAACACACAUAUGAGAACCAAAAGUCACCAUUCAAUCCCACACCAAGAAAAGCUCUCGAAGAACUCCAGAACUCCCAGUUCAAUCCGACACCAAGAAAAGUUCUCGGCGAACUCCAGAACUUCUCACCAACAUC